CUUGUUUAUUAGCAUGCCUAUUGUGAGACCAUCCUUUCUUUCUACACCCAUAAUAUGCAUUUAAUACACAGGUUUUUUGUGAUCAUCUUGUUUGCCAUUUCUUAUGGCACUGGAUAAUGAUAAAUUGUAAGAAAAUGAGGAAGAGGAUGUUGAGCGUGUGGGGAUAAUGCCUGGAAGUGGUCAUAGAAUAAUAGAUUCAGAGCUGAAAAGACCUUUACAGGAUUGGCUGGCUUUUCAUUACAAUUGGCUGAAAGAAUCAUAGGGUCUCCUGCUAAAUAUUUUCAUUUUGCUGAAGCAAGCAAUUACUACUGUAGAGUUAAAAAGAUUAAAAAAAAAAGAAAAACAGAAAAUUUAACAAAACAUCACUUUCUUCAGAGAAGGUAUUAAAACAAAGGAAUCAUGUUUAACUAUCAAAAAUUGUUUGUAGAGUGAACUCCUGUAGGGAUUGGGCUGGACAAUUUCUCAAGUUCCUUCUAGUUAUUAGAUUCUGUGAUUCCAUACAGCAAGUAAAUAGCAGAGCUGGGAUUUGAAUCCAGGACACUGCGGAUAAGUCUGAUUUGAGGAAAACCAAUCUAAUAGUCAGGGCAGCUAUACGUAUUAGAUACUGAAGAUAGGAAGACUCAGUUCUGACUCAGACAUGUACAAGUUGUGUGACCCUGGGUAAGUCACUUAAACCCAUUUGCCUCAGUUCCUUAUCCUAUAAAAAUAAGCUGGAGAAGGAAAUGAUAAAUGAUUUCAUUAUCUUUGCCAAGAAAAACCCAAAUGAGGUCAUGAAGAGAUGGACAUGGCUGAAAUGAUUGAACAACAACAACAUCUUAAUAAUUACAGCUAUCUAAAAUGAUAAUGUGCUGACUUAAGGAAUGAUGUGUAUCCCUUUAUUGGAAACAUUCAUGUGGCAGUUGGAUAGCUACUUGUCAGAGAUAUUAUGCAGCGGAUUCAUGCUUAUAUAUUUGUUGGACUUAUAGGGCCUUGGAGACCCUUUCCAGCUUUGAUAUUCUACAUUUCUAAAGGAUUCUACUUCCUUUUAAACAAGCUACAAAUCAUAACAUGCCACAUCCUGACUCAGGAACAGGAAUUUGUAAGUUCUAGGGGAAACUGGCACCCAGAGUCAUGGGGAGGGGCAGCAGAGAUGGACCCAGAGAGGAGGUACCACUGCUUGGGUGAGAGAAUUUAGUUGAGGUGAAGGUAAUGGGUAAGGCCAGUUGAAUGCUUUGGGACAACCCCCUGCAUUGUUUCAUCACUAUCCUCAGGAAACACUAUGUAUGGCAAUUUGGAAAAGCUGACAAAAGAGAUGAUGAUGGGGCAAGGUAUAUCACAUUUAGUAAAAUGGAAGUUGUUUAAAAGAGGCAGCACAAGUCUGAUAUUUUAUACCCACAAAAAACAUUUAGAGUAAAUAAAGAUAAUAAGCAAAUAAUCAGAAAGUAAACUCCAAAAUAAACUCAAAGAGAACAAAACAAAUGAAAAUUUAGAAAAAUUACGAUUAAAUAAAACUAAGAAAAUGAAUCAAAGGGUAAGAAAUAAUAGGGGGCAUUUUCAUAUGUUACUUAAUUAAGAAAGGAAGAAAAGAUAAAGAAAUAACUGAAUAAACAAAAGAGAGAAAACUCAAUAAAUUCUUCCCAAACUAGGGCUGGAAGUAGGAGAAAGACAGACACUAGAUUAGGCUCAGAGAAAUUUAGGCAAAACUAAUCUUAGACACUUAAGGGGAAAGGGAUUUAAAAAGCAAUACGAAAGAAGCAAAUGAAAUAAAGCAAUUUUAAUAUUGAUAACAUUAAAUGUGAAUGGACUAAAGAAGUCCCCAAAAGAAAGAAGAAUGGCCUUUAAGGAAAAAAAAAACUCCAUAAUCUAUUGAUUCAAGAAACAGAGCUCAAAGGCAUAUACACAGAAAAAAGGGGAAGCCUAUAAUAAAAAUUCAAGCAAAUACAGGUGAAGACUCAAUUAUUCUACCAGACCAAACCCCUAUGUAAUAAUAAUGAUCCACAAUAAUAAACAAAAACUGGAGUUUGUGAUUUUGCAUAAUUUUUUUGCAUUUGCUUAUUUAAAUUUUUUGGU
Monodelphis domestica (gray short-tailed opossum) is the source of this 2049-nucleotide long non-coding RNA. RefSeq lists it as uncharacterized. The record is from RefSeq and is a predicted model, not a curated record. NCBI's taxonomy places the organism in Eukaryota, Metazoa, Chordata, Mammalia, Didelphimorphia, Didelphidae.